UUAAGUUCAGCGGGUAGUCCUACCUGAUUUGAGGCCAAAGCUUUAAAGUGUAUUGUCCGUAAGGACGACUAUAAGCAGCACCACUGAAGAGUUCCUAAGGCUGUGGCGCAGAUAAUUAUCACACCGGUGCCCGGCACUCUAAAAGCGCAAGCUAAUGUAUUUCAAGACGAGCCAACUACGGCACAGUCCAAAUCCACCUC
Molecule: unclassified non-coding RNA, 200 nt
Filed under: Elmerina sp.
Lineage: Eukaryota; Fungi; Basidiomycota; Agaricomycetes; Auriculariales; Aporpiaceae
Description: partial internal transcribed spacer 2
Source: RNAcentral